AGAGUUUGAUCCUGGCUCAGAUUGAACGCUGGCGGCAUGCCCUACACAUGCAAGUCGAACGGCAGCACGGACUUCGGUCUGGUGGCGAGUGGCGAACGGGUGAGUAAUAUAUCGGAACGUACCCUGGAGUGGGGGAUAACGCAGCGAAAGUUGCGCUAAUACCGCAUACGAUCUACGGAUGAAAGUGGGGGCUCGCAAGACCUCAUGCUCGUGGAGCGGCCGAUAUCUGAUUAGCUAGUUGGUAGGGUAAAAGCCUACCAAGGCUUCGAUCAGUAGCUGGUCUGAGAGGACGACCAGCCACACUGGGACUGAGACACGGCCCAGACUCCUACGGGAGGCAGCAGUGGGGAAUUUUGGACAAUGGGGGCAACCCUGAUCCAGCAAUGCCGCGUGAGUGAAGAAGGCCUUCGGGUUGUAAAGCUCUUUUGUCAGGGAAGAAACGGUGAAGGCUA
Molecule: ribosomal RNA, 452 nt
Filed under: uncultured bacterium
Lineage: Bacteria
Description: bacterial SSU rRNA
Rfam family: Bacterial small subunit ribosomal RNA
Source: RNAcentral